AAAAACAUCCGCCUCUCUCCCUAUCUUCUCUCUCUUCCCUCUCUCUAACUUUCUCUCUCUCUCUCUCAAACCAAAACAACCGAUGCCGCCUUCAUCGACGACCACCGUUAAGCCGUUUUUCCCCUCCCCGAGGUUUUCCGUUGCUGCACAGCAUCCAUGCAGCCGCCACAGCCAUCAACGCCAGCCGUCGCCACCGGCGGACUCAACAACUUCCGUAGGUUAGCAGGAUAUCAUAUGUCUGAUUGACAUCACAUCCAACUUGGUACUCUCGAACAUCAUCAUGGACACUCUCCAUGGAUGUACCUGAGUCAAUUCUCUAUGCAGGAAGCCUGUCUCAUUUAUCUGACUUUGUAAAGAAUGUGAAAUCUCACUUUCGUACAAAAGUCGUGGUGCGUGAUGAUUGCAUCAGUCUGAAAGGGGAAGGUGCUCCUAAUGUUGUUGGCCUCUUCAAAGGAAAGACUGAUAGUAUUUUCCCUAUGAACAGAUAUGACUGUGACUUGCCAGAUCUUCUAAUGGUAUUAUUGUAGCAGCAUCAAGCAAUUUAGUACAAGCAUCCUCUUGUGGUGGAGAGGUCUUGCUCGACCGUUGGAAGUUAAAAGAUUUUUUAAAUGAUGAACGCCCAUAUCAAGAAGACAACCAAGAGGAUGAAAGUGAUGAUGACUCUGACGAUGUGAAUGAAAGUGAUUCAAGUUUGAAAUAUUUUUUUUUGGAUCAUUUAAGAAUCAUACAUUAUUGAUGUGGAUGUUUUGAAUUUUUUUUCUUAGCUGUAAUUAUUUACAUUAGACUUGUAUUGGAUGAUAUUUUAGAGAAUUAUUGAAGGUUUUGAAUAGAUUUUUGAUUAAUUGUGAAAUAUUUGUAGUAAUUUACGUGAAUUAUUAUUUGAGAA
Capsicum annuum is the source of this 886-nucleotide long non-coding RNA. RefSeq lists it as uncharacterized. The record is from RefSeq and is a predicted model, not a curated record. The transcript has 2 exons. Lineage: Eukaryota; Viridiplantae; Streptophyta; Magnoliopsida; Solanales; Solanaceae.